Molecule: microRNA precursor, 89 nt
Filed under: Pelobates cultripes (western spadefoot toad)
Lineage: Eukaryota; Metazoa; Chordata; Amphibia; Anura; Pelobatidae
Source: RNAcentral
CCCCAGAUGUUGCUGAACUACAACUCCCAUGAUUCCCUUGCUGUUUCAUUGAAAUAAUCAUGGGAGUUGUAGUUCAGCAACAUCUGGGG